UGGGGAAUCUUCCGCAAUGGACGAAAGUCUGACGGAGCAACGCCGCGUGAGUGAAGAAGGUUUUCGGAUCGUAAAACUCUGUCUUUUGGGGCGAACGUGAGUAUGGUGAACAAUCAUAGUCAGUGACGGUACCAAAGGAGGAAGCCACGGCUAACUACGUGCCAGCAGCCGCGGUAAUACGUAGGUGGCAAGCGUUGUCCGGAAUUAUUGGGCGUAAAGAGCGCGUAGGCGGGAUAGUCAGUCUGUUGUAAAGUGCGGGGCUCAACCCCGUGAUCGCAAUGGAAACAGCUAUUCUUGAGUGCAGGAGAGGAAAGGUGGAAUUCCCAGUGUAGCGGUGAAAUGCGUAGAUAUUGGGAGGAACACCAGUGGCGAAGGCGACUUUCUGGACUGUGUCUGACGCUGAGGCGCGAAAGCCAGGGGAGCGAACGGGAUUAGAUACCCCGGUAGUCCUGGCCGUAAACGAUGGGUACUAGGUGUGGGAGGUAUCGACCCCCUUUCCGUGCCGGAGUUAACGCAAUAAGUACCCCGCCUGGGGAGUACGGUCGCAAGACUGAAACUCAAAGGAAUUGACGGGGGUCAUAGCUGUUUCCUG
This 592-nucleotide ribosomal RNA is filed under the name uncultured bacterium. RNAcentral describes it as "partial 16S ribosomal RNA". It matches the Rfam family "Bacterial small subunit ribosomal RNA", at positions 355 to 941 of the family's 1533-position model. The record is from RNAcentral.